CCUACGGGUGGCAGCAGUGGGGAAUAUUGCACAAUGGGGGCUACCCUGAUGCAGCGACGCAGCGUGAGUGAAGAAGUACUUCGUUAUGUAAAGCUCUAUCAGUAGGGAAGUAAAUGACGGUACCUGUGUAAGUUGCCCCGGCUAACUACGUGCCAGCAGCCGCGGUAAUACGUAGGGGGCCAGCGUUAUCCGGAUGUACUGGGUGUAAAGGGAGCGUAGACGGCUGUGCAAGUCUGGAGUGAAAGGCGGGGGCUCAACCCCCGGACUGCACUGGAAACUGUACGGCUGGAGUGCAGGAGAGGUAAGUGGAAUUCGUGGUGUAGCGGUGAAAUGCGUAGAUAUUAGGAGGAACACCAGUGGCGAAGGCGGCUUACUGGACUGUAACUGACGUUGAGGCUCGAAAGCGUGGGGAGCAAACAGGAUUAGAUACCCGUGUAGUC
Molecule: ribosomal RNA, 440 nt
Filed under: uncultured bacterium
Lineage: Bacteria
Description: partial 16S ribosomal RNA
Rfam family: Bacterial small subunit ribosomal RNA
Source: RNAcentral